AACGAACGCUGGCGGCAUGCCUAACACAUGCAAGUCGAACGAGCCCUUCGGGUCUAGUGGCGCACGGGUGCGUAACGCGUGGGAACCUGCCCUUAGGUUCGGAAUAACUCCCCGAAAGGGGUGCUAAUACCGGAUAAUGUCUUCGGACCAAAGAUUUAUCGCCUUUGGAUGGGCCCGCGUUGGAUUAGCUAGUUGGUAGGGUAAAAGCCUACCAAGGCGACGAUCCAUAGCUGGUCUGAGAGGAUGAUCAGCCACACUGGGACUGAGACACGGCCCAGACUCCUACGGGAGGCAGCAGUGGGGAAUAUUGGACAAUGGGCGAAAGCCUGAUCCAGCAAUGCCGCGUGAGUGAUGAAGGCCUUAGGGUUGUAAAGCUCUUUUACCCGGGAUGAUAAUGACAGUACCGGGAGAAUAAGCUCCGACUAACUCCGUG
This 433-nucleotide ribosomal RNA is filed under the name uncultured bacterium. RNAcentral describes it as "partial 16S ribosomal RNA". It matches the Rfam family "Bacterial small subunit ribosomal RNA", at positions 29 to 507 of the family's 1533-position model. The record is from RNAcentral.